GUAGGGAAUAUUGGACAAUGGGGGGAACCCUGAUCCAGCCAUGCCGCGUGGAGGAAGACUGCCCUCUGGGUUGUAAACUCCUUUUAUAUGGGAAGAACCGUCCUCAUUAAUGAGUGACCUGACGGUACCAUAGGAAUAAGCACCGGCUAACUCCGUGCCAGCAGCCGCGGUAAUACGGAGGGUGCAAGCGUUAUCCGGAUUCACUGGGUUUAAAGGGUGCGUAGGCGGAUAAAUAAGUCAGUGGUGAAAUCAACGGGCUCAACCUGUUAACUGCCAUUGAUACUGUGUAUCUUGAAUAUGAGAGAGGUAGGCGGAAUGUUGCAUGUAGCGGUGAAAUGCUUAGAUAUGCUACGGAACACCGAUUGCGAAGGCAGCUUACUAUUUCGUAAUUGACGCUGAGGCACGAAAGCGUGGGUAGCGAACAGGAUUAGAAACCCCUGUAGUCC
RNAcentral lists this ribosomal RNA (446 nucleotides) under uncultured bacterium. Its description in RNAcentral is "bacterial SSU rRNA". It matches the Rfam family "Bacterial small subunit ribosomal RNA", at positions 354 to 796 of the family's 1533-position model. The record is from RNAcentral.